CAGGCGCAAACCCUGUGCCCCCACAAGGCGCUCCACAAGCUCCAAAGAGACUUAAAACCUAAAGCUACACUGGCUGACAAGGUUCUUGGGGCAAAGAACCCCUAAGUUUAUUCUCACAUCCAUAAAGGGGGUGUUGAGAAACACCAGUCCGGACUAAUGUGUAUUCCAGGGGGAUGCACCUUCGCGUUGAGAGCAGUAUAUAGGUCCGCUUCCACGUCCUCCGCAGUGAUGCCCGCAGCAUGCGCCUUGUCCUUAGAGUACAGCGGGCAUUAUGCGACGUCCACAGCAGCCUGUAUGUCCCAGAGCCCGCAACUUGGGUGGUUUGUAUGUUUCCGCGCUCUUAUUAUGUAAAUUAUGGUGGAUUUGGUUUCCCAUAAAGUUUGUCUGCAUGAAUAGUAGGCGGACGUCCAGUUGAAUACGUUCCGUUGCCUGGAGUGCCGUCCACGCACCGUGAUCGAAAUUCAUUGCCUGCAACUCCUCGGCCACGCUACAGAUCACACACAGGCCGUCAUUCGAGGCUAAUGCACUAUGAAGUUCGUUGGGCUGCGGUGGCCUGCACAGCGCGAACAUGUUGCGGAUUUGUGCUUCUUGAGAAGCAGGACCGGAUACAAAGCACAUCUGCCUUUCAGAAGUUCGUCACAAGUACUUAAACAUUUCAGGGACACUGCG
RNAcentral lists this long non-coding RNA (669 nucleotides) under Volvox carteri. Its description in RNAcentral is "long non-coding RNA (VCAR_LNC003437)". The record is from RNAcentral. Lineage: Eukaryota; Viridiplantae; Chlorophyta; Chlorophyceae; Chlamydomonadales; Volvocaceae.